Molecule: long non-coding RNA, 533 nt
Filed under: Pongo abelii (Sumatran orangutan)
Lineage: Eukaryota; Metazoa; Chordata; Mammalia; Primates; Hominidae
Description: lincRNA
Source: RNAcentral
AUUCAAGGCUCCACCAGCCGGGGCCCUGGCAGGAACCAGAGUUCACUCAACCGUUCAUAGAAGGAUGCCUUGCAGAGGCACUGGCAGGAAUGAGCUUUGGUGUGGAUUUAACCUGAACAGGGCAGGCACAGAGUGUAUGCUCUGUGUGAAUUGACAUUCUGUAUUUUCAUCCUUCAGACAUGGAACGAAUACAAUCUCCUUUAUAAAUGCGUCGAUCAUUUCUGCCCAGAAUCUCUUCCUGUUCUUAAUCACUUGGCCCGAGGCUCCACUCCUGACCCCAUAACUGUACAGGGUUCCCUCAGGCAGCAGGCUCCUUAAAGAAAAAACUUUACUCUUUUUUUUUGAUGGAGUAAGUGAGUCACAUCCUUUUCAGAAGUAGCAUCCUAACGUUAGUACAUAGGGUGAAGUCACAAAUAGCAGAAUGACCAACGGCGACACCUUCAUAAGCCCUUGAAAUACAGUGAUGGACACAACACCCCUCCCUGGACCCACAGGCGGUGCUUCCUGCAGUCAGGGACCAGGUUCCUGUGUCU